Molecule: small RNA, 702 nt
Filed under: Pongo abelii (Sumatran orangutan)
Lineage: Eukaryota; Metazoa; Chordata; Mammalia; Primates; Hominidae
Description: processed transcript
Source: RNAcentral
GCUGGCAAAAGCAAUGGGGUCAUCAGCCUUGGAAAGAAACUCAGAAGUUCUCGUGAGAGUCGACUUCAAUGUUCCUAUGAAGAACAACCAGAUAACAAACAACCAGAGGAUUAAGGCUGCUGUCCCAAGCAUCAAAUUCUGCUUGGACAAUGGAGCCAAGUCAGUAGUCCUUAUGAGCCACCUAGGCCGGCCUGAUGGUGUCCCUAUGCCUGACAAGUACUCCUUAGAGCCAGUUGCUGUAGAACUCAAAUCUCUGCUGGGCAAGGAUGUUCUGUUCUUGAAGGACUGUGUAGGCCCAGAAGUGGAGAAAGCCUGUGCCAACCCAGCUGCUGGGUCUGUCAUCCUGCUGGAGAACCUCCGCUUUCAUGUGGAGGAAGAAGGGAAGGGAAAAGAUGCUUCUGGGAACAAGGUUAAAGCCGAGCCAGCCAAAAUAGAAGCUUUCCGAGCUUCACUUUCCAAGCUAGGGGAUGUCUACGUCAAUGAUGCUUUUGGCACUGCUCACAGAGCCCACAGCUCCAUGGUAGGAGUCAAUCUGCCACAGAAGGCUGGUGGGUUUUUGAUGAAGAAGGAGCUGAACUACUUUGCAAAGGCCUUGGAGAGCCCAGAGCGACCCUUCCUGGCCAUCCUGGGCGGAGCUAAAGUUGCAGACAAGAUCCAGCUCAUCAAUAAUAUGCUGGACAAAGUCAAUGAGAUGAUUAUUGG